Molecule: ribosomal RNA, 585 nt
Filed under: uncultured bacterium
Lineage: Bacteria
Description: bacterial SSU rRNA
Rfam family: Bacterial small subunit ribosomal RNA
Source: RNAcentral
CCUACGGGAGGCAGCAGUGGGGAAUUUUGGACAAUGGGCGAAAGCCUGAUCCAGCAAUGCCGCGUGAGUGAAGAAGGCCUUCGGGUUGUAAAGCUCUUUUGUCAGGGAAGAAACGGUGAAAGCUAAUAUCUUUUGCUAAUGACGGUACCUGAAGAAUAAGCACCGGCUAACUACGUGCCAACAGCCGCGGUAAUACGUAGGGUGCAAGCGUUAAUCGGAAUUACUGGGCGUAAAGCGUGCGCAGGCGGUUUUGUAAGUCUGAUGUGAAAUCCCCGGGCUCAACCUGGGAAUUGCAUUGGAGACUGCAAGGCUAGAAUCUGGCGGAGGGGGGUAGAAUUCCACGUGUAGCAGUGAAAUGCGUAGAUAUGUGGAGGAACACCGAUGGCGAAGGCAGCCCCCUGGGUCAAGAUUGACGCUCAUGCACGAAAGCGUGGGGAGCAAACAGGAUUAGAUACCCUGGUAGUCCACGCCCUAAACGAUGUCUACUAGUUGUCGGGUCUUAAUUGACUUGGUAACGCAGCUAACGCGUGAAGUAGACCGCCUGGGGAGUACGGUCGCAAGAUUAAAACUUAAAGGAAUUGACGG